This 492-nucleotide ribosomal RNA is filed under the name uncultured bacterium. Its description in RNAcentral is "partial 16S ribosomal RNA". It matches the Rfam family "Bacterial small subunit ribosomal RNA", at positions 29 to 507 of the family's 1533-position model. The record is from RNAcentral.
AGUGAACGCUGGCGGUAGGCCUAACACAUGCAAGUCGAACGGCAGCACAGUAAGAGCUUGCUCUUACGGGUGGCGAGUGGCGGACGGGUGAGGAAUACAUCGGAAUCUACUUUUUCGUGGGGGAUAACGUAGGGAAACUUACGCUAAUACCGCAUACGACCUACGGGUGAAAGCAGGGGAUCUUCGGACCUUGCGCGAUUGAAUGAGCCGAUGUCGGAUUAGCUAGUUGGCGGGGUAAAGGCCCACCAAGGCGACGAUCCGUAGCUGGUCUGAGAGGAUGAUCCGCCACACUGGAACUGAGACACGGUCCAGACUCCUACGGGAGGCAGCAGUGGGGAAUAUUGGACAAUGGGCGCAAGCCUGAUCCAGCCAUACCGCGUGGGUGAAGAAGGCCUUCGGGUUGUAAAGCCCUUUUGUUGGUAAAGAAAAGCAGCAGGUUAAUACCCCGCUGUUCUGACGGUACCCAAAGAAUAAGCACCGGCUAACUUCGUG